This 87-nucleotide transfer RNA is filed under the name Clostridia bacterium. Its description in RNAcentral is "tRNA-Leu". It matches the Rfam family "tRNA". From Rfam's summary of the family: Transfer RNA (tRNA) molecules are approximately 80 nucleotides in length. Their secondary structure includes four short double-helical elements and three loops (D, anti-codon, and T loops). Lineage: Bacteria; Bacillati; Bacillota; Clostridia. The record is from RNAcentral.
GCCGAAGUGGUGGAACUGGCAGACGCGCUGGACUCAAAAUCCAGUGGGGGCAACUCCGUGCGGGUUCGACUCCCGCCUUCGGCACCA